AACGAACGCUGGCGGCAUGCCUAACACAUGCAAGUCGAACGAGACCUUCGGGUCUAGUGGCGCACGGGUGCGUAACGCGUGGGAACCUGCCCUUAGGUUCGGAAUAACUCCCCGAAAGGGGUGCUAAUACCGGAUAAUGUCUUCGGCCCAAAGAUUUAUCGCCUUUGGAUGGGCCCGCGUUGGAUUAGCUAGUUGGUAGGGUAAAAGCCUACCAAGGCGACGAUCCAUAGCUGGUCUGAGAGGAUGAUCAGCCACACUGGGACUGAGACACGGCCCAGACUCCUACGGGAGGCAGCAGUGGGGAAUAUUGGACAAUGGGCGAAAGCCUGAUCCAGCAAUGCCGCGUGAGUCAUGAAGGCCUUAGGGUUGUAAAGCUCUUUUACCCGGGAUGAUAAUGACAGGACCGGGAGAAGAAGCCCCGGCUAACUCCGUG
This 433-nucleotide ribosomal RNA is filed under the name uncultured bacterium. RNAcentral's name for it is "partial 16S ribosomal RNA". It matches the Rfam family "Bacterial small subunit ribosomal RNA", at positions 29 to 507 of the family's 1533-position model. The record is from RNAcentral.